This 409-nucleotide ribosomal RNA is filed under the name uncultured bacterium. Its description in RNAcentral is "bacterial SSU rRNA". It matches the Rfam family "Bacterial small subunit ribosomal RNA", at positions 28 to 430 of the family's 1533-position model. The record is from RNAcentral.
GAUGAACGCUAGCGGCAGGCUUAACACAUGCAAGUCGAGGGGCAGCAUAAACAUUGCUUGCAAUGUUUGAUGGCGACCGGCGCACGGGUGCGUAACGCGUAUGUAACCUACCUCAAACAGGGGCAUAACACUGAGAAAUUGGUACUAAUUCCCCCAUAACACCUGAUAGGGCAUCCUAUUAGGUUGAAAGUUCCGGCGGUUUGAGAUGGACAUGCGUUGUAUUAGCUAGUUGGUGAGGUAAUGGCUCACCAAGGCGACGAUACAUAGGGGGACUGAGAGGUUAACCCCCACAUUGGUACUGAGACACGGACCGAAACUCCUACGGAGGCAGCAGUGAGGAAUAUGGUCAAUGGACGCAAGUCUGAACCAGCCAUGCCGCGUGCAGGAUGACGGCUCUAUGAGUGUAAAC